RNAcentral lists this ribosomal RNA (1264 nucleotides) under Escherichia coli. RNAcentral's name for it is "partial 23S ribosomal RNA". It matches the Rfam family "Bacterial large subunit ribosomal RNA", at positions 620 to 1869 of the family's 2925-position model. The record is from RNAcentral. Lineage: Bacteria; Pseudomonadati; Pseudomonadota; Gammaproteobacteria; Enterobacterales; Enterobacteriaceae.
UCAGCGACUUAUAUUCUGUAGCAAGGUUAACCGAAUAGGGGAGCCGAAGGGAAACCGAGUCUUAACUGGGCGUUAAGUUGCAGGGUAUAGACCCGAAACCCGGUGAUCUAGCCAUGGGCAGGUUGAAGGUUGGGUAACACUAACUGGAGGACCGAACCGACUAAUGUUGAAAAAUUAGCGGAUGACUUGUGGCUGGGGGUGAAAGGCCAAUCAAACCGGGAGAUAGCUGGUUCUCCCCGAAAGCUAUUUAGGUAGCGCCUCGUGAAUUCAUCUCCGGGGGUAGAGCACUGUUUCGGCAAGGGGGUCAUCCCGACUUACCAACCCGAUGCAAACUGCGAAUACCGGAGAAUGUUAUCACGGGAGACACACGGCGGGUGCUAACGUCCGUCGUGAAGAGGGAAACAACCCAGACCGCCAGCUAAGGUCCCAAAGUCAUGGUUAAGUGGGAAACGAUGUGGGAAGGCCCAGACAGCCAGGAUGUUGGCUUAGAAGCAGCCAUCAUUUAAAGAAAGCGUAAUAGCUCACUGGUCGAGUCGGCCUGCGCGGAAGAUGUAACGGGGCUAAACCAUGCACCGAAGCUGCGGCAGCGACGCUUAUGCGUUGUUGGGUAGGGGAGCGUUCUGUAAGCCUGCGAAGGUGUGCUGUGAGGCAUGCUGGAGGUAUCAGAAGUGCGAAUGCUGACAUAAGUAACGAUAAAGCGGGUGAAAAGCCCGCUCGCCGGAAGACCAAGGGUUCCUGUCCAACGUUAAUCGGGGCAGGGUGAGUCGACCCCUAAGGCGAGGCCGAAAGGCGUAGUCGAUGGGAAACAGGUUAAUAUUCCUGUACUUGGUGUUACUGCGAAGGGGGGACGGAGAAGGCUAUGUUGGCCGGGCGACGGUUGUCCCGGUUUAAGCGUGUAGGCUGGUUUUCCAGGCAAAUCCGGAAAAUCAAGGCUGAGGCGUGAUGACGAGGCACUACGGUGCUGAAGCAACAAAUGCCCUGCUUCCAGGAAAAGCCUCUAAGCAUCAGGUAACAUCAAAUCGUACCCCAAACCGACACAGGUGGUCAGGUAGAGAAUACCAAGGCGCUUGAGAGAACUCGGGUGAAGGAACUAGGCAAAAUGGUGCCGUAACUUCGGGAGAAGGCACGCUGAUAUGUAGGUGAGGUCCCUCGCGGAUGGAGCUGAAAUCAGUCGAAGAUACCAGCUGGCUGCAACUGUUUAUUAAAAACACAGCACUGUGCAAACACGAAAGUGGACGUAUACGGUGUGACGCCUGCCCGGUGC